CAACCCUUAAGCCCCAGUCGCUUAGUGUCGGGAGACUGCCGUAAAACGCAGCUCCUCAGAGUUAGCUGGCAGAGUUAGGUCAUACUCUAGGCGUAGUAAAUCUUUACAUCUCGCUUCUUUGUAGUUGGCCUGGCCCUCGCCAUUAAACACCCCAAUUUUUCUAU
Molecule: unclassified non-coding RNA, 164 nt
Filed under: uncultured Ascomycota
Lineage: Eukaryota; Fungi; Ascomycota
Description: sequence contains ITS2
Source: RNAcentral